GGGGCUUUACGGCCCCCCUUGCGGGCAAGAGAGCCUGUGAGGGCAUCCAAAGAGGCUUGACGAUCUCCCUUGCGGGAAAGAGAGCCCAUGAAGCCUUCCAAAGAGGUCUCACAGCCUCCCUUGUGGCCGUAAGCCAACCCGUGAGCAGCCCACGGGUUGGGGCCUAUUUAAGGCACUUCUUGGACCAUCUAGGGUCUUCUUGAGCCCCUUUUUUCUCUCCUUCUUCCUUCUCCUCUUCAGCCUUCAUUUCUCCUCUAUAAACUCAUCAUCUUUGGCCUCCAAGAAAGGAAAGAAGUGGAGAUCUUUCUCCUUCUCUCUUGAUGAAAAGCUUCCUUAGGGUUUGGUGAACUUGGAGGUAUUUGAAAGUUCGUUGUUCCACCACUAGCUGUGAAGUCUGUUUUGAGUUACAGGUUAUCCUGGUGUCAAUAGAUUAUGAUCAAGGGGUAUAAUGGCCAUUACAAGUAUUUGGAAGUUCGUUGUUGCAAUUGAAGCUUAAGAGGGAAAGUUUAAAUGGAUGUGAUCUAAUCCAUCAAGAAGUUUAGUAUAAGUUUGAGGCAAAUGGAGAGAGCUCGGAUUGUGUUUGUGAAGAACGGUCAGGAUUUUGAAGAUCAAAGAGAGUGCAUAAGUUUGAGACAGAAGAGAAAGUCUAGCAUCGGGGUUAAAGUCAAGCAUCGGGGUUGGAUUAUGAUCGUGUGGCCAAGAUCUGAUCAAUCAAAGAGUUGUGUUUUAAGUUUGAGGCAAGAUUGAUAAGCUGUUUUGAUGCACCAGGUUGUUGCACGUGUCUAGCUUAGUCAUCUAGUCAAUUUUAUUUUGGUUACCAAAGUUUUAGUCUAUUUAAAUUACUGAUGUUUUAGUUUAAUGUUUUCAUGUUUUUCUGUUUUUCUUAGAAGUCUUCUCUCUUGUAUGAAUUUUAAAGAAUUGUAGAAGAGUUUUCUCAGUUGGAGUUGAAUAGAUAACUUGUUCCUCUUGA
Long non-coding RNA from Dioscorea cayenensis subsp. rotundata (Guinea yam), 970 nucleotides. RefSeq lists it as uncharacterized. The record is from RefSeq and is a predicted model, not a curated record. The transcript has 2 exons. Lineage: Eukaryota; Viridiplantae; Streptophyta; Magnoliopsida; Dioscoreales; Dioscoreaceae.